RNAcentral lists this ribosomal RNA (408 nucleotides) under uncultured bacterium. RNAcentral describes it as "partial 16S ribosomal RNA". It matches the Rfam family "Bacterial small subunit ribosomal RNA", at positions 28 to 526 of the family's 1533-position model. The record is from RNAcentral.
GACGAACGCUGGCGGCGUGCUUAACACAUGCAAGUCGAACGAAGUGGCACACGGGUGAGUAACGCGUAAUCCACCUGCCCUUCAGAGGGGGACACCAGUUGGAAACGACUGCUAAUACCGCAUACUGAAGUAGGUGAUUGCGUUUGAUUAGCUAGUUGGAGGGGUAACGGCCCACCAAGGCGAUGAUCAGUAGCCGGUCUGAGAGGAUGAACGGCCAAAAUGGGACUGAGACACGGCCCAGACUCCUACGGGAGGCAGCAGUGGGGAAUCUUCCGCAAUGGACGGAAGUCUGACGGAGCAACGCCGCGUGAGUGAUGACGGCCUUCGGGUUGUAAAGCUCUGUUAAUCGGGACGCGGUACCGGAAGAGAAAGCCACGGCUAACUACGUGCCAGCAGCCGCGGUAAUUC